This 614-nucleotide ribosomal RNA is filed under the name Aureobasidium pullulans. RNAcentral's name for it is "eukaryotic LSU rRNA". It matches the Rfam family "Eukaryotic large subunit ribosomal RNA", at positions 38 to 667 of the family's 3401-position model. Lineage: Eukaryota; Fungi; Ascomycota; Dothideomycetes; Dothideales; Saccotheciaceae. The record is from RNAcentral.
GCAUAUCAAUAAGCGGAGGAAAAGAAACCAACAGGGAUUGCCCUAGUAACGGCGAGUGAAGCGGCAACAGCUCAAAUUUGAAAGCUAGCCUUCGGGUUCGCAUUGUAAUUUGUAGAGGAUGCUUUGGGUAAAACGCCAGUCUAAGUUCCUUGGAACAGGACGUCAUAGAGGGUGAGAAUCCCGUAUGUGACUGGAAAUGUUAACCUAUGUAAAGCUCCUUCGACGAGUCGAGUUGUUUGGGAAUGCAGCUCUAAAUGGGAGGUAAAUUUCUUCUAAAGCUAAAUAUUGGCGAGAGACCGAUAGCGCACAAGUAGAGUGAUCGAAAGAUGAAAAGCACUUUGGAAAGAGAGUUAAAAAGCACGUGAAAUUGUUGAAAGGGAAGCGCUUGCAAUCAGACUUGUUUAAACUGUUCGGCCGGUCUUCUGACCGGUUUACUCAGUUUGGACAGGCCAGCAUCAGUUUCGGCGGCCGGAUAAAGGCUCUGGGAAUGUGGCCUCCACUUCGGUGGAGGUGUUAUAGCCCAGUGUGUAAUACGGCCAGCCGGGACUGAGGUCCGCGCUUCGGCUAGGAUGCUGGCGUAAUGGUUGUAAGCGACCCGUCUUGAAACACGGACC